UAACUUGUAGCUUAAUUAAAGCAUCUUGCUUACACCAAGAAAAUACCCGUUAAACCCGGAUCAAGUUGA
RNAcentral lists this transfer RNA (69 nucleotides) under Salamandra salamandra morenica. Its description in RNAcentral is "tRNA-Val". It matches the Rfam family "tRNA". Rfam says of the family: Transfer RNA (tRNA) molecules are approximately 80 nucleotides in length. Their secondary structure includes four short double-helical elements and three loops (D, anti-codon, and T loops). Lineage: Eukaryota; Metazoa; Chordata; Amphibia; Caudata; Salamandridae. The record is from RNAcentral.